Molecule: ribosomal RNA, 497 nt
Filed under: uncultured bacterium
Lineage: Bacteria
Description: bacterial SSU rRNA
Rfam family: Bacterial small subunit ribosomal RNA
Source: RNAcentral
ACUCAAAUGAAUUGACGGGGGCCCGCACAAGCAGUGGAGUAUGUGGUUUAAUUCGAAGCAACGCGAAGAACCUUACCAGGGCUUGACAUAUACAGGAAGUAGUGAGAGAUUACUACGCUCUUCGGAGCUUGUAUACAGGUGGUGCAUGGUUGUCGUCAGCUCGUGUCGUGAGAUGUUGGGUUAAGUCCCGCAACGAGCGCAACCCCUGUGAUUAGUUGCCAGCACAUAAUGGUGGGAACUCUAAUCAGACUGCCGGUGAUAAAUCGGAGGAAGGCGGGGAUGACGUCAAAUCAUCAUGCCCUAUAUGUCCUGGGCUACACACGUACUACAAUGGCCGAAACAGAGGGAAGCGAAAUAGAGAUAUGGAGCAAAACCCCAAAACCGGUCUCAGUUCGGAUUGAAGGCUGAAAUUCGCCUACAUGAAGCUGGAAUUGCUAGUAAUGGCAGGUCAGCAUACUGCCGUGAAUACGUUCCCGGGCCUUGUACACACCGCCCGU